Molecule: ribosomal RNA, 497 nt
Filed under: uncultured bacterium
Lineage: Bacteria
Description: partial 16S ribosomal RNA
Rfam family: Bacterial small subunit ribosomal RNA
Source: RNAcentral
GCUGACCUCUUUCCUCGUGCCUAAUACAUGCAAGUCGAGCGAACAGACGAGGAGCUUGCUCCUCUGACGUUAGCGGCGGACGGGUGAGUAACACGUGGAUAACCUACCUAUAAGACUGGGAUAACUUCGGGAAACCGGAGCUAAUACCGGAUAAUAUAUUGAACCGCAUGGUUCAAUAGUGAAAGACGGUUUUGCUGUCACUUAUAGAUGGAUCCGCGCCGCAUUAGCUAGUUGGUAAGGUAACGGCUUACCAAGGCAACGAUGCGUAGCCGACCUGAGAGGGUGAUCGGCCACACUGGAACUGAGACACGGUCCAGACUCCUACGGGAGGCAGCAGUAGGGAAUCUUCCGCAAUGGGCGAAAGCCUGACGGAGCAACGCCGCGUGAGUGAUGAAGGUCUUCGGAUCGUAAAACUCUGUUAUUAGGGAAGAACAAAUGUGUAAGUAACUAUGCACGUCUUGACGGUACCUAAUCAGAAAGCCACGGCUAACUACGUG